GCAGAGGGCAGAAAUACAGAGAGCAAAAAGAACCAAUAUAUGUGCACUUAGGAUUACUGGUCUGUCACUUGGUGUACACUUCACUCACAUUCCAUUGUUCAGAGCAAGUCACCUUACCAGAGGCCCCUGCAGUGCAUCCUGAUCUGCUCAGUGCUAUGAUGCAAGUACUGGGGGUUGAACUCAGGACUUCGUGCUUGCUGGGCAGGCACAGUGCCACGGAGCUGCAUGCCCGGCUCUUCCUCUCAACUCCUUUUGAGACAGGCGAAGCCAACUGACCCCAAAUGUAGCUUUUGCAGUUACACCUUCAGACGCUGAUGACAUAGGAUCAACUAGAAACAAACACCCUCUCCUCAAUUCGUACUUACCAAAAUGCUAUCCUUCCUUUGAGAUUCACCAAAAAU
Heterocephalus glaber (naked mole-rat) is the source of this 401-nucleotide long non-coding RNA. The record is from Ensembl. NCBI's taxonomy places the organism in Eukaryota, Metazoa, Chordata, Mammalia, Rodentia, Bathyergidae.